RNAcentral lists this ribosomal RNA (1707 nucleotides) under Triticum aestivum (bread wheat). Its description in RNAcentral is "partial small subunit ribosomal RNA". The record is from RNAcentral. Lineage: Eukaryota; Viridiplantae; Streptophyta; Magnoliopsida; Poales; Poaceae.
AUGGCGGAGACGGUGCUGAGCAUGGCGAGGUCCAUGCUGGGCGGUGCCAUUAGCAAGGCCGCCUCUGCCGCCGCCGCCGAGAUCAGCCUCCUCAUGGGUGUGCGCAAGGAUAUCUGGUUCAUCAAAGACGAGCUUGCGACCAUGCAGGCUUUCCUGGUGGCCGCAGAAGCAAUGAAAGAGAAAGACAUGCUACUGAAGGUGUGGGCAGAGCAAGUAAGGGACCUGUCAUACAAUAUUGAAGAUUGCCUUGGUGAAUUCAUGGUGCAUGUGGCAAGUCAAAGCUUGUCAAGGAAGCUGAUAAAGCUCAAAGAUCGCCAUCGAAUCGCAAUACAAAUUCGUGAUCUCAAAUCAAGGGUUGAAGAAGUGAGCAACAGGAACACACGAUACAACCUGAUUGAGACGAACCAAUUCACCAGAGACACGGAUGAGAGGGAUUCUUGCAUGGAAGAUAUUCGCAACCAAUCAGCCAACAACAUUAAUGAAGCUGAAUUAGUGGGGUUUUCCAAGCCAAAGCAAGAGUUGAUUAAUCUCAUAGAUGUCCAUGCCACAAAUAGCCCUGCUCAGGUAGUGUGUGUUAUCGGCAUGGGUGGUUUGGGUAAGACUACUCUUACAAGGAAGGUUUAUGAAAGUAUAAAAAGCUUUUCUUGUUGUGCUUGGAUUACUGUCUCUCAAUCAUUUGUCAGGACGGAGUUUCUUAAAGUUAUGAUCAAAGAACUUUUUGGCAGUGAAGCAUUGAAGAAGCAGCUCGAAGAGAAUGUUGGGAGUGAAGUGAAUCUCGCCAACUGUCUUAGAGAAAAGCUACUUGAGAAGAGGUAUUUUGUUGUUCUUGAUGAUUUGUGGAACAUAGAUGAUUGGAGUUGGAUGAAAAGUGUUGUUUUUCCUAGUAUUAACAACAAAGGUAGCCGAAUAGUGGUAACAACACGAGAUCUUGGCUUAGCUGAGAACUGCACUUUGGGAUCUUCUAGGCCACUUAUCUACCGCCAUGAACCCCUAGAAACAAAUGAUGCCAUAAAUCUGCUAUUAAGGAAGAGUAGGAAAAGUGAGGAAGAAAUGAAAAAAGAUUGGAACAUGAGGAAAAUAGUCACUAAGAUAGUCAAAAAGUCUGGACAGUUACCACUAGCUAUACUCACAAUAGGAGGCAUGCUUGCCACUAGAGUGGUUGAUGAGUGGGUAAGUAUUUAUGACCAGCUCCCCUCAGAGCUAGAGAGAAAUCGGAGCCUUGAAGCAAUGAGGAGGAUGGUUAUCUUGAGUUACAACCACCUGCCUUCUCAUCUUAAGUCAUGUUUUCUAUAUUUAAGCUUAUUUCCUGAGGAUUUUGAAAUCAAAAGGAGGCGUCUGGUGGAAAGAUGGAUAGCCGAGGGGUUUAUUAUUGCCAGGCAUGGGGUGAGUGUUGAGGAUGUUGGGAAUAGUUACUUUAAUGACCUAAUCAACCGAAGCUUGAUUCAGCCAUCAAGAGUGAACAUGGAAGGAAUUGUCAAGAGUUGUCGAGUUCAUGAUAUUGUUCGGGAUGUUAUGAUCUCAAUUUGUAGAGAUGAAAAUUUUGCGUGGUCUACAUCGGAUAAUGUAACCCACAUAGUAGGGGAUAACUUCCAUCAUAUAGCACUGCAAGGCAGUUGGUGUCCAAAUGAAGGCUUGGAUUGGAACCAUGUCCGUUCAUUGACGGUGUUUGGCAAGAAACCCAUGAAGCCAGCACCUUCACUAUGUUAG